This 373-nucleotide ribosomal RNA is filed under the name uncultured organism. RNAcentral's name for it is "bacterial SSU rRNA". It matches the Rfam family "Bacterial small subunit ribosomal RNA", at positions 526 to 896 of the family's 1533-position model. The record is from RNAcentral.
CAGAGGGUGCAAACGUUGUUCGGAAUUACUGGGCAUAAAGCGCACGUAGGUGGUCCGCUAAGUCGCGUGUGAAAUCCCCCGGCUCAACCGGGGGAAAUGCGCGUGAUACUGGCAGGCUUGAGAUCGGGAGGGGUGAAUGGAACUCCAGGUGGAGCGGUGAAAUGCGUAGAUAUCUGGAGGAACACCGGUGGCGAAAGCGGUUCACUGGCCCGACACUGACACUGAGGUGCGAAAGCUAGGGUAGCAAACGGGAUUAGAUACCCCGGUAGUCCUAGCCGUAAACGAUGGGUACUGGGCAGGGGGAAUAUCUAUGUUCUCUCUGCCGGAGCUAAUGUGUUAAGUACCCCGCCUGGGGAGUACGCUCGCAAGGGUA